AUUGAACGCUGGCGGCAGGCCUAACACAUGCAAGUCGAACGGUAACAGGAAGCAGCUUGCUGCUUCGCUGACGAGUGGCGGACGGGUGAGUAAUGUCUGGGAAACUGCCUGAUGGAGGGGGAUAACUACUGGAAACGGUAGCUAAUACCGCAUAACGUCGCAAGACCAAAGAGGGGGACCUUCGGGCCUCUUGCCAUCGGAUGUGCCCAGAUGGGAUUAGCUAGGAGGUGGGGUAACGGCUCACCUAGGCGACGAUCCCUAGCUGGUCUGAGAGGAUGACCAGCCACACUGGAACUGAGACACGGUCCAGACUCCUACGGGAGGCAGCAGUGGGGAAUAUUGCACAAUGGGCGCAAGCCUGAUGCAGCCAUGCCGCGUGGAUGAAGAAGGCCUUCGGGUUGUAAAGUACUUUCAGCGGGGAGGAAGGCGAUAAGGUUAAUAACCUUGUCGAUUGACGUUACCCGCAGAAGAAGCACCGGCUAACGCCGUGCCAGCAGCCGCCGUAA
RNAcentral lists this ribosomal RNA (506 nucleotides) under uncultured bacterium. Its description in RNAcentral is "partial 16S ribosomal RNA". It matches the Rfam family "Bacterial small subunit ribosomal RNA", at positions 30 to 523 of the family's 1533-position model. The record is from RNAcentral.